UACAGAGGGUGCGAGCGUUGUUCGGAAUUAUUGGGCGUAGAGGGCGCGUAGGCGGUGCGGUAAGUCACCUGUGAAAUCUCCUGGCUCAACUGGGAGCUUGCAGGCGAAACUGCCGUGCUGGAGUGUGGGAGAGGUGCGUGGAAUUCCUGGUGUAGCGGUGAAAUGCGUAGAUAUCAGGAGGAACACCUGUGGCGAAAGCGGCGCACUGGACCACAACUGACGCUGAGGCGCGAAAGCUAGGGGAGCAAACAGG
RNAcentral lists this ribosomal RNA (253 nucleotides) under uncultured bacterium. RNAcentral describes it as "partial 16S ribosomal RNA". It matches the Rfam family "Bacterial small subunit ribosomal RNA", at positions 524 to 776 of the family's 1533-position model. The record is from RNAcentral.